Long non-coding RNA from Alexandromys fortis (reed vole), 726 nucleotides. RefSeq lists it as uncharacterized. The record is from RefSeq and is a predicted model, not a curated record. The transcript is spliced from 3 exons. Lineage: Eukaryota; Metazoa; Chordata; Mammalia; Rodentia; Cricetidae.
CCUUCGCUGCAGCCGGGUCCCUGAUCCCGACGCUGAACCUGAAAGUGUGAGCAGCGAUCGCAGCAGAGACGUCUCCGUUUAUCUCGGGAACUAGGGAACAAGCUGAGUCUCACUCUUAUGCACCGUAUUUUUCUCGAGAAGGUAACUCAGAGGUAGCGAUCAGAAAGCCCUCUGCAGGAGGACCAGCUUUAUGAAGAAGAAAAAAAAAAACUUCGUGUCGUUCUCUUGGACUCGCGGUAGACCAGCGGUGGAUAUUUGUUGAAGGGAGACCAUUUCGGAGCUGACUGUAAUUUUCCUCUAAUCCGAACCUGUCAGAAAGUUGAGAGUCAAUCAAGCCCGCCCAAAGUGGAAACAAAGACCAUUCGCCUGCCAGGAACACAGUGACCUUUCCUGGCCUGGCAUAUGAAAACUUCAACUUACAAGGAUAGGGUGAUCGAAGAGUGUGACCUCCAGAAUAGACCUCCUUCUCCUCUCUGAAGACAGCCUUGCAUCCAGCAAGAAACUGGCUUCUCUUCGCCCUCUUAAAAAGGCCUUCCUUGACUCAGGACUUGUUAGGUGAAGAAACAAGUCCCUAAAGGGGACUUGGAAACCAACCCCAAGUCACAAAGCACUGUUCUUUCCAAUGCUCUUUACGCUGCUGUUGCAAGCUGUGGAGUUGGUGUCCUUCCCCCACUGACCUAUAUGGGUGAAGGUGGUGGAAAGUGUCCUGGCUUGCUUGUGAUUAAU